CUUCCCAUUUAUUUGCUGCUCUCGUCUCUCGGUGAUAUGAGUGGUUAUACGCAUGGGGUAAAGUAACACUGGACCACUGUAAAAGGAGGUGGAGCAAUCAUUUCAUCUCUUGUCCGUGGUCUAGACAUCG
RNAcentral lists this small nucleolar RNA (130 nucleotides) under Catagonus wagneri (Chacoan peccary). Its description in RNAcentral is "Small nucleolar RNA SNORA20 (ENSCWAG00000003105.1)". It matches the Rfam family "Small nucleolar RNA SNORA20". Rfam says of the family: ACA20 is a member of the H/ACA class of snoRNA that guide the sites of modification of uridines to pseudouridines. The record is from Rfam by way of RNAcentral. Lineage: Eukaryota; Metazoa; Chordata; Mammalia; Artiodactyla; Tayassuidae.